RNAcentral lists this ribosomal RNA (497 nucleotides) under uncultured bacterium. RNAcentral's name for it is "partial 16S ribosomal RNA". It matches the Rfam family "Bacterial small subunit ribosomal RNA", at positions 28 to 507 of the family's 1533-position model. The record is from RNAcentral.
GAUGAACGCUGGCGGCGUGCCUAAUACAUGCAAGUCGAGCGAACGGACGAGAAGCUUGCUUCUCUGAUGUUAGCGGCGGACGGGUGAGUAACACGUGGAUAACCUACCUAUAAGACUGGGAAAACUUCGGGAAACCGUAGCUAAUACCGGAUAAUAUUUUGAACCGCAUGGUUCAAAAGUGAAAGACGGUCUUGCUGUCACUUAUAGAUGGAUCCGCGCUGCAUUAGCUAGUUGGUAAGGUAACGGCUUACCAAGGCAACGAUGCAUAGCCGACCUGAGAGGGUGAUCGGCCACACUGGAACUGAGACACGGUCCAGACUCCUACGGGAGGCAGCAGUAGGGAAUCUUCCGCAAUGGGCGAAAGCCUGACGGAGCAACGCCGCGUGAGUGAUGAAGGUCUUCGGAUCGUAAAACUCUGUUAUUAGGGAAGAACAUAUGUGUAAGUAACUGUGCACAUCUUGACGGUACCUAAUCAGAAAGCCACGGCUAACUACGUG